CCUGCAGCGCACUCCUGCACGGCUCCUCCCGGGGGAAGAAGAGGUCUGACCAUCAGGAUCAAACUUCACCUUCACCUUUCCUCCAGAGAAACAAGACACCAUCAGGCAAUGGUGACUCUUGGGGAGCAGGAAUGUAUAAACCGCCAAGGUCACCUGUAGCCAAGGACUGAGGACA
Long non-coding RNA from Neomonachus schauinslandi (Hawaiian monk seal), 175 nucleotides. RefSeq lists it as uncharacterized. Lineage: Eukaryota; Metazoa; Chordata; Mammalia; Carnivora; Phocidae. The transcript is spliced from 3 exons. The record is from RefSeq and is a predicted model, not a curated record.